GCUCUCUGAUUGGUUGGUCAGACACAGGCUGUCUGCCAGCCUGGAUUUUUCUAGCUCAUAGCUUCGCCCUGCUACGCGUGUGUGCCUGUACAAAGGCCGUUCAGCCUCGGGAUUUACACUCGGCUCGACACGGAUAUGUGAAGAAUGAAGGGAGCCUGCAGCGAAACGGAGAGCCAACCUCUGACUGAGUGCCCGUUUACUCAGUCUGACCACCUGUUGAAGGGCUGUUUGAUGACGAUUUGGACUCCUCUGGGAGAUGAGGACACACCCACAUCUGUUCCAUACUGCAGCCAUGGAUGGUGUUACAGCUCUGAGUCAGCUUUGGGCCAUCAGACGCACACACUGGAAAACCAGCGCCUGUACUUCAUGCACGAGAGACGGCCUCAGUGAUAAUUCAUCAGCAGCUGUGAAGAGAUGUAUUUGAAUAUCUUCUGGUUCCACUUUUCUUAACCUGGAAGCUGAGGAUGGCUGAUUCCUGACAAGGACACACACCUCAG
This is a long non-coding RNA of Oreochromis aureus, 497 nucleotides long. Lineage: Eukaryota; Metazoa; Chordata; Actinopteri; Cichliformes; Cichlidae. The record is from Ensembl.